CAUGUGUAUCCAUAUGGAUAUGUAAAAAUAAAACAUAAUCUUCACAUACAAAUGUUUAGUGGGAAACUAGAUUGCAAUAUGUGUAAGGAAUACAUAUAUGAGGUAAAUGAAAAACAGGAGGAGUAUAAAUUAUCUGUAAAAGAGAGAGAAGUGUGCAAGUUAGUCUAAUCGUUAGGAUAGACAAAAAGGUGUGCAAAGAAUGUGCAAAAAGUAAUACAACAACAUUAAAUAUUGCACUUCCCAAAACGGAUAAUUCUGAAGACAUAAUUACAUUGAAAACAUAUGUAAUAGAGAUGGUUAUCUGUCUGCAAUACUAAUGUGUGUGUCGAUCUGGAC
Non-coding RNA from Pelobates cultripes (western spadefoot toad), 336 nucleotides. The record is from the annotation of a GenBank genome assembly. Lineage: Eukaryota; Metazoa; Chordata; Amphibia; Anura; Pelobatidae.